GUCCCUGUAGCGCAAUGGAUAGCGUGUUGGACUUCUAAUCCAAAGGUGGUGACUUCGUACCUACCUGGGAUG
Non-coding RNA from Trichonephila clavata, 72 nucleotides. The record is from the annotation of a GenBank genome assembly. Lineage: Eukaryota; Metazoa; Arthropoda; Arachnida; Araneae; Nephilidae.